This 480-nucleotide ribosomal RNA is filed under the name Triticum aestivum (bread wheat). RNAcentral's name for it is "partial small subunit ribosomal RNA". Lineage: Eukaryota; Viridiplantae; Streptophyta; Magnoliopsida; Poales; Poaceae. The record is from RNAcentral.
AUGUCCCAUUAUCCUUUCGAUUGUAGUUUUCACCCUGGUAUGAGCAGAUGUCUUCUGAGGCUAGCCACAGAUUUUAGGAUGGACAAUAGGAUAGUUCCAUGGAACGAACUCACCGGUAGUGACACCAUAGUGAAUGAGUUGGCUCACAAAUUACGUAGGUCUAGGUGGCCUGAAAGGACCUAUGAGGAGGUACGUAAAGAACUUCUUAGGUUGCAUGAAAGGUGGAAGAAGGUAGUGGAGCCCAAGAGUGAAACUUUCAGAAGGAAUGCAACAAAGAAUCCAUAUUUAUGGACUGACGACAGCGAGGACAAAGAUGAUAUCUUCAUGCUGCCGCUUCCAGGUUCUGCAUCGUCGAAGGGCAAGAGUAGUGCCGCGUCGUCGAAGGGCAAGAAUGCUGCAUCAACGGAGGGCAAGAGGACCGCAACGUCGAAGGGCAAGAGGGUUGCACCAAUGAAGGAUGACGAUGAUGACUUCAUGUAG